GACGAACGCUGGCGGCGUGCUUAACACAUGCAAGUCGAGCGAUGGAGUUUCUUCGGAAAUGGAUUAGCGGCGAACGGGUGAGUAACACGUGAGGAAUCUGCCCUUCACUUUGGAAUAACUCCGGGAAACCGGAGCUAAUACCGGAUACGAACGCUGGCGGCAUCGCCGGGGUGGGAAAGUUUUUCGGUGAAGGAUGACCGCGCGGCCUAUCAGCUUGUUGGUGAGGUAAGGGCUCACCAAGGCGACGACGGGUAGCCGGCCUGAGAGGGUGACCGGCCACACUGGGACUGAGAUACGGCCCAGACUCCUACGGGAGGCAGCAGUGGGGAAUAUUGCACAAUGGGCGCAAGCCUGAUGCAGCGACGCCGCGUGAGGGAUGACGGCCUUCGGGUUGUAAACCUCUUUCAGCACCGACGAAGCGCAAGUGACGGUAGGUGCAGAAGAAGGACCGGCCAACUACGUGCCAGCCGCCGCCGUAA
Molecule: ribosomal RNA, 479 nt
Filed under: uncultured bacterium
Lineage: Bacteria
Description: partial 16S ribosomal RNA
Rfam family: Bacterial small subunit ribosomal RNA
Source: RNAcentral